ACACCAUAGUCACUGCCCUCCCGUUCGCUGAAAUGAAACCCUAAUUCCAACCUGUGUGCGGGUGCGCCAUGGUCUCGCCGCAGCAGCCGGCGGCGGCGAAGAAACCCACACCACUCCCCCCGACGACCAUAAGCGCCCUCGACCUAGACACCCUGCGCGAGAUCUUCCUCUGCCUCCCCUCUCUCCCGAGCCUCGUCCGCGCCGCCCUCAGCUGCCACACCUUCCUGGACGCCGUCCGUUCGUCGCCCGCUUUCCGCCGCCGGUUCCGUGCGCUCCACCCACCCCCGCUCCUAGGCCACUUCCUCACCACCCAAGACACCACCAUCCGUACUUUCGUGCCUCUCCGCAGCCGCUCCGACCCGGACAUCGCGGCGGCGGUACGCGGCGGCGAUUUCUUCCUCACCCGCCUCCCGGUCCCCGAAGACGACGGCGCCGUGUCCAUUCCUGCACCCGUCUCCGCCCCCGAAGACAGCGAGGGUGGCGUGUCCGUUCCUGUCCCCGCUCCCGCACCCGAAGACGACGACAUGGAUGCCAUCUUCGGCUUCGAAGACGACGACGAGGAUCCCGUCCCCGAGGAUCCUGUCCCCGAGUGGUCGAUCGAUGACUGCCGUGACGGAUUCGUUGUUCUCGACAACUGGAGCACUCAGCAGAUCGCCGUCUACAACCCGCUCGCGCGGACACUGGAUCUCUUCCCCCUGCCUCCCCGCCAGGAGCACUCCAAGGACUGCGAGCGCCAGUAUUCUGAUUACUACAUCCUCGCCGAAAAAGAAGAAGACUCCUUGCCGUACCGCGUCGUGUGCGUCUGGCACAGCGAACAUGGGGCGCGCGCCAUGGUCUUAUCAUCGGACACCAGCAACUGGCAGAUUUUCCCAUGGGCGGACAUCGACGGGUUCUGGCCUGGCAAUGGUAAGAUGGUUAAUGGCUGCAUCUAUUGGACCAAUGGGAUGACGGAUGCGCGCGUGCUUAACACUGCUACAAUGCAAUUCUCUCGGAUGGAUAAGCCGCCGCGCAUGAGAGGGCAUGAGGUAUUGACGGCUGGUGAGACCAAGGAUGGAAGACUCUGUGUGGUCUGCGCACCUUUGGGGCCACUGACAUUUGAAUCCGUGCUUGCCGUUUGGAUCCGGAGAGCCGAUGAUGAUGGCGUCGAGAGGUGGAUGUUGGACAAGUCACUCCCGUUGCAGGAGAUAGCUGGAAUCGUUCGAUGUGGAUUCAGGCAGGAUAAUGUUCAAUUUCAAGUGAGUGUUAGGGCGAUUAUUGGUGGCUUUGUGUACUUCUCUGCUUAUUGUGGGGUGUUGCCCCAUGAUCAUUCGGAUCUCUGGCUCCUAUCCUUCUGCGUGGAAACGGCGGCGCUGAACAAGCUUGGUCGCAUCUUUCGUGGUGUUUCCUAUCCCUACAUCAUGGCGUGGCCUCGUUCUUUGGUUGGUACACAACAAGGUGACUAAGCCGAUAAAACAACCUCCACAUACAUUCCUUUUGGUAAGGUAACAAUUUGGUGAGGCUCAGAAUGUAUCAUAAAUAGAUUUUGAGGGGCGAAGAUGGUGAAUUGUGAAGUGCGUCCUCGCCGUAGUGGGGGCUCUGGUUCGUUCAUGGAAGGUGAUAUGCGUCGGUACUCAAGCAAUGUUACUCCUCAAGUGUCUUCAGCUACUUGACUGUCUCCUUAGGAUAGCUUGGUAUUGAUUAGGUUCUUUGUAUCAUUCAGAACACUAUUGCGGCUAAGUGAUUGCUUGUAAUAAAUUUUUGCUGCAGCUAAUUUCUGGUUGUGUUUGAGAGCUGCUUAACAUUUUAUGUGGUUGGACUGUUGUGCCUUGGCUUUUUCAAUAAAAAGUUUGGACGGGGGGAAACCUCUUUGAUUUU
RNA transcript from Aegilops tauschii subsp. strangulata, 1854 nucleotides. RefSeq lists it as uncharacterized. The record is from RefSeq and is a predicted model, not a curated record. Lineage: Eukaryota; Viridiplantae; Streptophyta; Magnoliopsida; Poales; Poaceae.